AUGCAUCUGUAUCACUGAUGAAGCCAGGGUUUAUCUGGAGGGGGGGUGUCGACGUCCUCUGCUUCAAACUAAGCUUAAAUGUCUUUCAUCCUUAAGGAAAUUUGGACCUUUUUAAAGGUAGAAAAAUGUUUGAAUUUCCUUCUCAGAACACGACUGUGGCGAAGAGACGGAGCAGCAUUGACAACGGACUCCGUCAUCAAUGCUGAAAUUAUCAGGCCUGGCUGAGUGCUUCCGACCAUUGGAGAGUUAAAACAAUAAUAACCCAGAGGCCGGAAAGGUUAAACAAAUGAUGCAGAGUUCCAUGGACCGCUGCCACAAUUGUUCCAGGAGUUCCACCUGCUUCUAAGUUUAUUAUAUUUUGAGGCUAAAUAAAGGAUGGCACACAAAAAUGUAAAGUGGAUUUGAAAAACAAAUGAAAAACUAGUUGCAUAAUAGGACAUGGAUUGUUAAUAGUUUCAACUUCCUACACUGUUCCACAUCAAACAUCAGGUUUUUCACAGCUUUAGACACCGUUUUCAGCUCAUUUUGAUCAAGUUUCUGCCAUAGAGACAUAAGCUGGUCUAACAGCGUCUACUUGGCAAACAAAAUAAAAUCGAUAAGGACCAAAAACGGACUGACGUCAGACAGUUGGGAGAGGUGCGAGCUAAGCUAGCGCUGGGCUAAUUAGCGUUGGCUCGAUUGCGUCGCAGGAAAGUGACGAUUUUCCAUUAAUUAACCAAUCACAGCACAGUCUCGCGCUUCAACCUCCAAUCACCGGGUGACGUGUCUCAUGACGUACGAAAAGUACGAGUGUUUCGAGCUAAAAACAACUCAAUUUAUUGAACUAAACGUUACUGAACAUCACGAGAAGAAACUUUUGAUGUUGCUGAAGGAUAGCUGCCUAAACUAUUAAAUACAAGUAGUUUGUUGAAUUAUUUUGGCCUUUUAAAGACCACUUUAGUGGUAUAUUUUAUAAUAUAAUAUACAACCUUAACUGGAGUGAUAGCAGUCUUAACGCUGACAUCUCACUGAUACCAGUGUUGUUCCUU
This 1028-nucleotide long non-coding RNA is filed under the name Takifugu rubripes (torafugu). RNAcentral's name for it is "lncRNA (ENSTRUG00000029104.1)". Lineage: Eukaryota; Metazoa; Chordata; Actinopteri; Tetraodontiformes; Tetraodontidae. The record is from RNAcentral.